GACGAACGCUGGCGGCGUGCUUAACACAUGCAAGUCGAACGGAAAGGCCCUGCUUUUGUGGGGUGCUCGAGUGGCGAACGGGUGAGUAACACGUGAGUAACCUGCCCUUGACUUUGGGAUAACUUCAGGAAACUGGGGCUAAUACCGGAUAGGAGCUCCUGCUGCAUGGUGGGGGUUGGAAAGUUUCGGCGGUUGGGGAUGGACUCGCGGCUUAUCAGCUUGUUGGUGGGGUAGUGGCUUACCAAGGCUUUGACGGGUAGCCGGCCUGAGAGGGUUACCGGCCACAUUGGGACUGAGAUACGGCCCAGACUCCGACGUGAGGCAGCAGUGGGGAAUAUUGCACAAUGGGCGGAAGCCUGAUGCAGCAACGCCGCGUGCGGGAUGACGGCCUUCGGGUUGUAAACCGCUUUCGCCUGUGACGAAGCGUGAGUGACGGUAAUGGGUAAAGAAGCACCGGCUAACUACGUG
RNAcentral lists this ribosomal RNA (468 nucleotides) under uncultured bacterium. RNAcentral's name for it is "partial 16S ribosomal RNA". It matches the Rfam family "Bacterial small subunit ribosomal RNA", at positions 28 to 507 of the family's 1533-position model. The record is from RNAcentral.